GCCCUUCGGGGUACUCGAGCGGCGAACGGGUGAGUAACACGUGAGCAACCUGCCCUAGGCUUUGGGAUAACCCUCGGAAACGGGGGCUAAUACCGAAUAUGACCUCCGAUCGCAUGGUUGGUGGUGGAAAGUUUUUCGGCCUGGGAUGGGCUCGCGGCCUAUCAGCUUGUUGGUGGGGUGAUGGCCUACCAAGGCGACGACGGGUAGCCGGCCUGAGAGGGCGACCGGCCACACUGGGACUGAGACACGGCCCAGACUCCUACGGGAGGCAGCAGUGGGGAAUAUUGCACAAUGGGCGGAAGCCUGAUGCAGCGACGCCGCGUGAGGGAUGACGGCCUUCGGGUUGUAAACCUCUUUCAGCAGGGACGAAGCGUAAGUGACGGUACCUGCAGAAGAAGCGCCGGCCAACUACGUGCCAGCAGCCGCGGUAAGACGUAGGGCGCGAGCGUUGUCCGGAUUUAUUGGGCGUAAAGAGCUCGUAGGCGGCUUGUCGCGUCGACCGUGAAAACUUGGGGCUC
RNAcentral lists this ribosomal RNA (518 nucleotides) under Micromonospora sp. PC4044. Its description in RNAcentral is "bacterial SSU rRNA". It matches the Rfam family "Bacterial small subunit ribosomal RNA", at positions 75 to 610 of the family's 1533-position model. The record is from RNAcentral. Lineage: Bacteria; Bacillati; Actinomycetota; Actinomycetes; Micromonosporales; Micromonosporaceae.